RNAcentral lists this ribosomal RNA (879 nucleotides) under Triticum aestivum (bread wheat). RNAcentral describes it as "partial small subunit ribosomal RNA". The record is from RNAcentral. Lineage: Eukaryota; Viridiplantae; Streptophyta; Magnoliopsida; Poales; Poaceae.
AUGGUGGUUCCGGGCGGGACUACUAUUGAGACGGUUGAUCAGCUCAUUGACUUCGAGAAUUGGACGUGGCGUCGGGACCUGAUCAGAGAUGUUUUUACCGCUCCCGACACCGAUGCUAUACUGAAUAUCCCACUACGUGCAGGUGGUGGUGAUGAUUUCCUUGCUUGUGCCCAUGAAAGAAGUGGCAUCUAUUCUAUAAAGUCGGCGUACCGUGCUCUUGUGACUCAGAAGGAGCUUGCAGCUCUAAAGGAAGGGACGGUUACCGGAUCCUCACAGACCGAAGAACAGAUGUGGAAGUCGCUUUGGAAACUCAAGGUGUUGCCAAAGGUUCGUGUUUUCUGGUGGAGGGUGGUGCGUGGAAUACUCCCAGAUGAAUGUACCUUGAGGCAUCGACAUAUAAAGAUAAUCAGCAGAUGUAAUGUCUGUAAUGCAAUGGAUGAGGACCUAAUGCACGCCCUAGUGCAUUGCUCCCAUGCAAAGUUGUUUUGGGAACAAGCAUUUGCUCUCUUCGAUCUUCGAAGGCCGCGAUUGCACCGGGAUACAUGGUCCCAUGACAUUUUAUGUGAGGGGAGGUUUUCUGAUGUUGAAAGGGCUCAAAUGAUAUCAGUAAUGUGGGCGAUAUGGCACUCGCGGAAUAGAGUUACUCAUGCAGAUGAUCAGCUUGACCCUUAUACUUCGGUUAAGAGAAUCCGGAAGGAUUUGGCCUUGCUUGAUAUGCCAGACAAACAUGCAUCGGUGCUCCCGGGCUUUGGGUGGAUUCCACCAGAGUUGGGGAUCGUCAAGAUCAACACAGAUGUGGCUGUGAACUUGGACUCCAACAGGAUAGGAGUGGGUGGUGUUGCUUGCUCCAACAAAUGCUUUGUUGGGUGCAUGGAGUAA